Molecule: long non-coding RNA, 2156 nt
Filed under: Homo sapiens (human)
Lineage: Eukaryota; Metazoa; Chordata; Mammalia; Primates; Hominidae
Description: HSALNT0135445
Source: RNAcentral
AGGAAGGAGCCAGCACGGUGGGGAGCUGUUUCACCAGGGGAGUGUUCUCAGCAGCUGCCACACGUGGAGUUGUGGAGGAUCUUGGCAGUGGACUGCCACGGGAGCUCUGGGGAAAAAGGACCAGUUGGACUCCAGUACCUCCUGAGAGACCACCACCCUCCAUGCCUCCAGCUCAUGCCCAGCUCUGAGUCAGACGGACUCUUCCUGUUGUACUGCGAGGUUCUGCAAACCUUGAAGGGCAAACACAGUGAGGGUCUCUGACUUGCUGUGUGGACAGCCCACUCUCUGACAGCCCAGAUCAUCUGAAGCUAUCCCUGGGCUGGGAGCUGGAAGCCAUUCUUGUGAACCACUCCUUAUACCUUGAGCGAAGCCUCUUUGGGUCCCAGAAGUCUGAAGCUCCAGCUGCCUGGCAAGACUGAGUCUAGAUGAUUUCUUGGGUACCAGUAGUUUGGCAUUUAAAAAUACUGGAUUAACUGCAGUGUAAACUUAGAUUGCAUUUCAGAUUGUAAACAAUAACCCCCGUGCUUCAUGUGAUGUUAAAUCAGAAAUGAGCUAUUAGCCAAGCUAGUCCUCUUAUGAAUGAGCCCCUAACCCUGAUCCAGGGAUCGUUGAAUGAAAAUCAUCAAAAUGAUUUAUCUUCACUUUACCUAUUGUCUCACAAGAAUCUCAUCACUCAGGGAAAAGGAGGGUGUUCUUCAGGGAACGGAGGGCAUGAGGAAGGGGGAUUUCCUUAUAUCUCAACUUUCAGAGGGAGCUGAGUUGUAAACAGAUGGAACAAGGUGUGUACGAGAAGCCUCUUAGAUUUAGUCUUUCAUAUCAAGGCUCUUGCUGAAAAUCCUGGCACAGCUGUGAAAUGAGGGGAGCUCUGACACACAGAGACACGCUCCUUGCCUCACCAACCUUCCCAUACACAGUCAUGCGCACAGAGAGCAGGUACCAAUACUGAAAAUGCCCUUCCGGAGUUUCCUCAGCUUAAACCCUUGACAGCAUUAAGUGAGGAAGGAGUUUCCUUGACCUGGGGAAGAAGAACCAACUCAUAAACAUGGAACUGUGCCCACUGCCUUUUCCUUUGCUCUGUGGAUUGGCUGUGGUUCUGCCCUGGCACUCGGAUGUCAAGUUGCUCUGGCUGUUUGGGAGGAAGCCCAGCCUGGGUCAGGUGGUCAUAAGCCAGAGGCCCUGUCCUGUCCCCAGGGUUGGCCUCCCUCUGGGGUCCAGCAUGGCCCCAGUGCUGAGGCUCCCACUGCUGGGGAAUGUGCCCUCUCCUCUCUUUGUUUCCAUACCAAGGGGAUCUGCAGGGUAGAGGGCAAAUUAUUCUUAGCAGAUUGGGGCUAUGGGUAAACCAGAAGGGAUGAGGGAGAGAGGAGAGAGGAGAGGAAAGGGAAGGAGAGGGGAGGGCAGGGGAUAGGUAGAGGAGAGAGACAGCAAGAAAAAAUAGAAAAAAAAAAAAAGGAAAUAAAGGUUGCAUAUACAAAGGGAGAUUAACAAGGAGUAGAAGAAGGGAGGCAGAAGAGGGAGAAACAGAGAAGAGGAACAAAGAAGACAUUUCCAAAAAAGACGUGAGCACACCAGGCAGGAGGGAGAAAAGGAACAAGGAGAAAGGAAGGAAGUGAGACAAGCUGGGGAGAGAAGAGGCAAAGGCAGCCAGGAGCAGGCAUAGGGGAGAGAGGAGUGGGAAGCCCCAGGGGGUACAAGGAAAAAAAUGAGGGAAGCCAGUGGGAGGAAGGUGAGGAAGAGGAGAGGGAACAGGCACUGGGUGGGGAAGAGGCGAGCAGGAGAAAGCCUGUGCUGUGUGGAUUAUUGUGUGUUUGUCAUCUGGAAUGGUAUAAGCUGUAGGUACAGCAGCUCCCGCCCAUGAUUUAUGGUCCCUGUCAGGCAGGGACCGCGCUUUGUCUGCUGUAGCGUGGACGAUGAAUGCUCCGCUGUCAUCCCAGCCUGGCCGGCCUUUCUCUCUCUCUGCUCCCAACGCUGGCUCCCCAUUUCACGCCAGUGAACAUAAGCAAUCUUUUGUAAACCUGACAGUCACACUUGCUUCUUUGGAAACAUAAAGCAGAAAUGUAUGACUCGGCUUUCAUUACCCAAUUUCCUACGCUAUAUAAAAACACUCAGGAAAGACAUGUAAGUGGUCACGAAACCUGGGAAAUUGGAAGUGUCCUGGA